UACGUAGGGGGCAAGCGUUAUCCGGAUUUACUGGGUGUAAAGGGAGCGUAGACGGCAGAGCAAGUCAGAAGUGAAAGCCCGCGGCUCAACUGCGGGACUGCUUUUGAAACUGUUCAGCUGGAGUGCAGGAGAGGUAAGUGGAAUUCCUAGUGUAGCGGUGAAAUGCGUAGAUAUUAGGAGGAACACCAGUGGCGAAGGCGGCUUACUGGACUGUGACUGACGUUGAGGCUCGAAAGCGUGGGGAGCAAACAGG
This 253-nucleotide ribosomal RNA is filed under the name uncultured bacterium. Its description in RNAcentral is "partial 16S ribosomal RNA". It matches the Rfam family "Bacterial small subunit ribosomal RNA", at positions 524 to 776 of the family's 1533-position model. The record is from RNAcentral.